This 386-nucleotide ribosomal RNA is filed under the name Shewanella chilikensis. RNAcentral's name for it is "bacterial SSU rRNA". It matches the Rfam family "Bacterial small subunit ribosomal RNA", at positions 30 to 408 of the family's 1533-position model. The record is from RNAcentral. Lineage: Bacteria; Pseudomonadati; Pseudomonadota; Gammaproteobacteria; Alteromonadales; Shewanellaceae.
AUUGAACGCUGGCGGCAGGCCUAACACAUGCAAGUCGAGCGGUAACAUUUCAAAAGCUUGCUUUUGAAGAUGACGAGCGGCGGACGGGUGAGUAAUGCCUGGGAAUUUGCCCAUUUGUGGGGGAUAACAGUUGGAAACGACUGCUAAUACCGCAUACGCCCUACGGGGGAAAGCAGGGGAACUUCGGUCCUUGCGCUGAUGGAUAAGCCCAGGUGGGAUUAGCUAGUAGGUGAGGUAAUGGCUCACCUAGGCAACGAUCCCUAGCUGGUCUGAGAGGAUGAUCAGCCACACUGGGACUGAGACACGGCCCAGACUCCUACGGGAGGCAGCAGUGGGGAAUAUUGCACAAUGGGGGAAACCCUGAUGCAGCCAUGCCGCGUGUGUGA